RNAcentral lists this ribosomal RNA (545 nucleotides) under uncultured bacterium. RNAcentral describes it as "bacterial SSU rRNA". It matches the Rfam family "Bacterial small subunit ribosomal RNA", at positions 777 to 1320 of the family's 1533-position model. The record is from RNAcentral.
AAUAGAUACCCUGGUAGUCCACGCCGUAAACGAUGAGUGCUAAGUGUUGGGGGGUUUCCGCCCCUCAGUGCUGCAGCUAACGCAUUAAGCACUCCGCCUGGGGAGUACGGUCGCAAGACUGAAACUCAAAGGAAUUGACGGGGGCCCGCACAAGCGGUGGAGCAUGUGGCUUAAUUCGAAGCAACGCGAAGAACCUUACCAGGUCUUGACAUCCCGGUGACCACUAUGGAGACAUAGUUUCCCCUUCGGGGGCAACGGUGACAGGUGGUGCAUGGUUGUCGUCAGCUCGUGUCGUGAGAUGUUGGGUUAAGUCCCGCAACGAGCGCAACCCUUAUUCUUAGUUGCCAUCAUUCAGUUGGGCACUCUAAGGAGACUGCCGGUGAUAAACCGGAGGAAGGUGGGGAUGACGUCAAAUCAUCAUGCCCCUUAUGACCUGGGCUACACACGUGCUACAAUGGACGGUACAAACGGUUGCCAACCCGCGAGGGGGAGCUAAUCCGAUAAAACCGUUCUCAGUUCGGAUUGUAGGCUGCAACUCGCCUACA